RNAcentral lists this ribosomal RNA (253 nucleotides) under uncultured bacterium. RNAcentral describes it as "partial 16S ribosomal RNA". It matches the Rfam family "Bacterial small subunit ribosomal RNA", at positions 524 to 776 of the family's 1533-position model. The record is from RNAcentral.
UACAGAGGGUGCGAGCGUUGUCCGGAAUCACUGGGCGUAAAGGGCGCGUAGGUGGCGGCCCAAGUCCAUGGUGAAAGCUCGAUGCUCAACAUCGAGUCGGCCACGGAUACUGGGUUGCUCGAGCACUGUAGGGGCAGAUGGAAUUCCGGGUGUAGCGGUGGAAUGCGUAGAGAUCCGGAAGAACACCGGUGGCGAAAGCGCUCUGCUAGGCCGCAACUGACACUGAGGGACGAAAGCUAGGGGAGCGAAUGGG